RNAcentral lists this transfer RNA (81 nucleotides) under Dechloromonas sp. RNAcentral's name for it is "tRNA-Ser". Lineage: Bacteria; Pseudomonadati; Pseudomonadota; Betaproteobacteria; Rhodocyclales; Azonexaceae. The record is from RNAcentral.
GGGAUUCUGGCCAACAGCCACUGCCUGUCAGUUGCCUUCACACGGCAGGGGUCACUGGUUCGAACCCAGUACCGCCCACCA